AAGAAAAAGCAGAAGCACCCGCUUCUCGCCUUGGUGACCAGAGUUGCCGGGCUGACGAGUUUAAAUGACCGUUGACAUUCCUUUGUCAAUGGAGUUUAGCGGGGUGCAGUAUGCAUUCCGCUUUUUUUGCUUGAU
Molecule: small RNA, 135 nt
Filed under: Limosilactobacillus mucosae
Lineage: Bacteria; Bacillati; Bacillota; Bacilli; Lactobacillales; Lactobacillaceae
Description: Lactobacillus mucosae L20_leader
Rfam family: Ribosomal protein L20 leader
About the family: This family is a putative r-protein leader autoregulatory structure found in B. subtilis and other low-GC Gram-positive bacteria. It is located in the 5' untranslated regions of mRNAs encoding initiation factor 3 followed by ribosomal proteins L35 and L20 (infC-rpmI-rplT). A Rho-independent transcription terminator structure that is probably involved in regulation is included at the 3' end.
Source: RNAcentral